RNAcentral lists this ribosomal RNA (475 nucleotides) under uncultured Halomicrobium sp. RNAcentral's name for it is "bacterial SSU rRNA". It matches the Rfam family "Archaeal small subunit ribosomal RNA", at positions 364 to 838 of the family's 1478-position model. Lineage: Archaea; Methanobacteriati; Methanobacteriota; Halobacteria; Halobacteriales; Haloarculaceae. The record is from RNAcentral.
AGUGCGAUAGGGGGACUCCGAGUGCGAGGGCAUACAGUCCUCGCUUUUCUGUACCGUAAGGUGGUACAGGAACAAGKGCUGGGCAAGACCGGUGCCAGCCGCCGCGGUAAUACCGGCAGCHCGAGUGAUGGCCGAUAUUAUUGGGCCUAAAGCGUCCGUAGCCGGCCGVACAAGUCCGUUGGGAAAUCCACGCGCUCAACGNGUGGGCGUCCAGCGGAAACUGUUCGGCUUGGGGCCGGAAGACCCGAGGGGUACGUCCGGGGUAGGAGUGAAAUCCCGUAAUCCUGGACGGACCACCGGUGGCGAAAGCGCCUCGGGARGACGGACCCGACGGUGAGGGACGAAAGCYAGGGUCUCGAACCGGAUUAGAUACCCGGGUAGUCCUAGCCGUAAACGAUGCYCGCUAGGUGUGGCGCAGGCUACGAGCCUGCGCUGUGCCGUAGGGAAGCCGUGAAGCGAGCCGCCUGGGAAGUAC